RNAcentral lists this ribosomal RNA (255 nucleotides) under uncultured bacterium. RNAcentral describes it as "partial 16S ribosomal RNA". It matches the Rfam family "Bacterial small subunit ribosomal RNA", at positions 78 to 334 of the family's 1533-position model. The record is from RNAcentral.
UCUUUCUUUGCUGGCGACCGGCGCACGGGUGAGUAACACGUAUCCAACCUGCCCUUUACUCGGGGAUAGCCUUUCGAAAGAAAGAUUAAUACCCGAUGGGAUAAUUAUUCCGCAUGGUUUGAUUAUUAAAGGAUUCCGGUAAAGGAUGGGGAUGCGUUCCAUUAGGUUGUUGGUGAGGUAACGGCUCACCAAGCCUUCGAUGGAUAGGGGUUCUGAGAGGAAGGUCUCCCACAUUGGAACUGAGACACGGUCCAA